This is a long non-coding RNA of Cajanus cajan (pigeon pea), 387 nucleotides long. RefSeq lists it as uncharacterized. Lineage: Eukaryota; Viridiplantae; Streptophyta; Magnoliopsida; Fabales; Fabaceae. The record is from RefSeq and is a predicted model, not a curated record.
GUGAGGGAGAAGAGGCAUGGCAGCAGAAUUUGGGGCAGAGAGAAAAAGAUAUGGGCUCACUCGAUUGCGGGCGGAUAAGGAUCCCCAGAUAAGCGGUCUCUACACGUCUACUCCCGAUUAUCUUUUCAGUCUUUAAAACUUGGCUGUUGGGGGGUCCUGGAGGUUGGAUUUUGCUUCAAACAUUUGGGGAUCCAAGCAAUUGAGAUUGUGAAUUGGUGUGAGUACGGUGUUGUAUGAUGUCAUCAGAAAGCUUCUUCUUCCUCUUCUUUGUUCUUGGUGAGCUCAUAAUUAAGGAUAGGGUUAGUCGAAGCGGGUUUCAUGAAGAUGUUUUUGGGCGAUGUAGUAUUGGAUGGCUUUUGAUGGUUUGUAUAGUAGUGCUUGAUUGAA